ACUCCUACGGGAGGCAGCAGUAGGGAAUAUUGGGCAAUGGGCGGAAGCCUGACCCAGCCACGCCGCGUGCAGGAAGACGGCCCUCUGGGUUGUAAACUGCUUUUGAUUGGGAAGAAAGCAGCUCAUGCGUGAGAAUUUGACGGUACCAAUCGAAUAAGCCACGGCUAACUACGUGCCAGCAGCCGCGGUAAUACGUAGGUGGCGAGCGUUAUCCGGAUUUAUUGGGUUUAAAGGGAGCGUAGGCGGCUGAUUAAGUCAGCGGUGAAAGGUAGCAGCUUAACUGUUUACAUGCCGUUGAUACUGGUUAGCUUGAGUUGACAGAAGGCAGAUAGAAUUCCUGGUGUAGCGGUGAAAUGCUUAGAUACCAGGAGGAAUACCGAUUGCGAAGGCAGUCUGCUGCAGUCACACUGACGCUGAGGCUCGAAGGUGCGGGGAUCAAACAGGAUUAGAUACCCUGGUAGUCCGCACAGUAAACGAUGAUUACUAGAUGUUGGCCAUGCCAGUGUCCAAGGGAAACCGAUAAGUAAUCCACCUGGGGAGUACGCCGGCAACGGUGAAACUCAAAGGAAUUGACGGGGGUCCGCACAAGC
Molecule: ribosomal RNA, 590 nt
Filed under: uncultured organism
Description: bacterial SSU rRNA
Rfam family: Bacterial small subunit ribosomal RNA
Source: RNAcentral